UUGUCAUCAUGGGUUGCUCGUCGUCGAACCUCACCGCUGCCAGCACAAGCCACCGCAGCUCUCCGCCCUAGCUUGCCCACGCCUGUGCGAGCAACCGUAGCUCCCCGACGGUGCUCACCCACGCUGAUGCCCGAGCGAGCCACUUCGACUCGCCGCCGGUUCUCGUCCACGUCUGCAGGCGCCGGCGCAGUUCAUCCUCGCCUCGCGGAUGCCUGCGCUAGAUACUGCAGCUCGCUGCGGGUUCUCCCCCACGCCUGCGCGCGAUAGCGCAGCUCUCUGCGGGUCCUGAACAAGUGGCGUGAUGGCAGCAGCGGCCGGAGGAGGAGAUGGAUGCGUGUGUAGGUCCUGAAGAUGUUGAAUGCAAGCAACAUAGAGAACUGUCCAACACUACUUUCUUGUCAAUUUUUGCAUGUCCAGCCUUCUCGGAAGAUGGCAUUAGGCAGUUUACUUUCUCAUGGAGACCACUUCUGAUGCUACCUAGAUUGGCCGAUCUACUUUUUUCAUCAGUGACACUACUAUCCAUUUCAUGAGGAAGCACUUGGCAUAUCUGCUGUAGGAUCACAAUGUUCA
This is a long non-coding RNA of Triticum dicoccoides, 570 nucleotides long. RefSeq lists it as uncharacterized. The transcript is spliced from 3 exons. NCBI's taxonomy places the organism in Eukaryota, Viridiplantae, Streptophyta, Magnoliopsida, Poales, Poaceae. The record is from RefSeq and is a predicted model, not a curated record.